Gadus macrocephalus (Pacific cod) is the source of this 1033-nucleotide long non-coding RNA. RefSeq lists it as uncharacterized. Lineage: Eukaryota; Metazoa; Chordata; Actinopteri; Gadiformes; Gadidae. The record is from RefSeq and is a predicted model, not a curated record. The transcript is spliced from 2 exons.
AUAUGAAGACUUUGAAAAGUUUGGAAAUGUUGAAUAAUGCGCACAAGAUGUGAGGUUGCAAUAAGCUUGGACCUACAGAAAUAGCUCCCUCACACUCAGUUGAUUACUUGAGUUGCUACGACAUGCUCCACCAUGUAAACCUUUGAGUCAAACCAUUUGUAAUGCCCACGUACCUCUUGGUUAAUCAGACAUGAUAAAUUUUUUAGUCACUUCAUUUACAUUUUAUUACAUGAAAAUAUCAAAGCAUAAAACUAACAUGAAAACAAAGCUCAACUUUGGGUCCCAUCAGACUAUCACACAUUUGUGUGUCUAUCAUCAGCCUUAGACUCUCCAAGCAUUAAAGGAAAAACUCUUUAAAACCCUUAUUAGGGGAAAAAGGAGAAACCUUUAGGUAGGCCAAGUCAAAGAGAGAUCCCCUACCAGGACGGCUGAGCAUGCGACGUGUGUGUGUGUGUGUGUGUGUUGGGAGGGUUUUGGGAGUCUCUGGUUCAUGAGUGACUCGCCAGUGAAUAGCCAGGUGACAAAGGGCAGUGACUGCCUGGAGUUAACCUGCUCUUGGUCCUGAAGAAGGGGUUAGCUGUCUUUGGGGUUUGCAUCGGGAGUUCUGCAGAAAUUCCUUUCUUUGCUUUGGAAGUGAGUCCUGUCUCCAGCUGGAUGACUGACAGCAACAGUCGUGUCUUUGUUGUGUUGAACUCUCCAUUUGCAGAAGAAGUAGACUCUUUCAAAGUAGACUGCUGUUAAGAUAAAAAGGAAAAUGUUACGAUAAAACAACAUGAACCAACUGUGCAUUUAAUCACCAACAGAAGACACGAGUCCAAACGUUAAGAAUAAACUCUACUUACAGAUAUGAGUCGCAGAGUAGAGCUGCUACUGAGUCGCUUCAGUUGAACUCUCCAUGCAGACCCUCAACCCGACACAGGCCAAGUGAGAAAAGAGCAGCAGCAAUUAGUCACAUACAUGGUUUUCACAUUAUAAGUUCCAUCAACUGUUUAAGGUGUGCAUGCAAUUAAAUUUAUAAAUUGUACUUACAAAA